UGGAUCCAGACUUUGAUUAUGGCUCAGGACGAACGCUGGCGGCGCGCCUAACACAUGCAAGUCGAACGGGGUUAUACUGGAUGAAGUUUUCGGAUGGAAUUUGGUAUAACCUAGUGGCGGACGGGUGAGUAACACGUGAGCAACCUGCCUAUCAGAGGGGGAUAACGAUUGGAAACGAUCGCUAAUACCGCAUGACAUAGCGGAACCGCAUGGUUCUGUUAUCAAAGAUUUUAUCGCUGAUAGAUGGGCUCGCGUCCGAUUAGAUAGUUGGUGGGGUAACGGCCUACCAAGUCGACGAUCGGUAGCCGGACUGAGAGGUCGAACGGCCACAUUGGGACUGAGACACGGCCCAGACUCCUACGGGAGGCAGCAGUGGGGGAUAUUGCACAAUGGGGGAAACCCUGAUGCAGCGACGCCGCGUGAGGGAAGACGGUCCUCUGGAUUGUAAACCUCUGUCUUCGGGGACGAAAGUAGACGGUACCCGAGGAGGAAGCCACGGCUAACUACGUGCCAGCAGCCGCGGUAAUACGUAGGUGGCAAGCGUUGUCCGGAAUUACUGGGUGUAAAGGGAGCGUAGGCGGGCAGGCAAGUCAGGCGUGAAAUAUAUCGGCUCAACCGGUAACGGCGCUUGAAACUGCAGGUCUUGAGUGAAGUAGAGGUUGGCGGAAUUCCUAGUGUAGCGGUGAAAUGCGUAGAUAUUAGGAGGAACACCAGUGGCGAAGGCGGCCAACUGGCUUUUACUGACGCUGAGGCUCGAAAGUGUGGGGAGCAAACAGGAUUAGAUACCCUGGUAGUCCACACCGUAAACGAUGAUUACUAGGUGUGGGGGGACUGACCCCUUCCGUGCCGGAGUUAACACAAUAAGUAAUCCACCUGGGGAGUACGGCCGCAAGGUUGCAACUCAAAGGAAUUGACGGA
This 918-nucleotide ribosomal RNA is filed under the name uncultured Bacillota bacterium. Its description in RNAcentral is "bacterial SSU rRNA". It matches the Rfam family "Bacterial small subunit ribosomal RNA", at positions 1 to 917 of the family's 1533-position model. The record is from RNAcentral. Lineage: Bacteria; Bacillati; Bacillota.